This 70-nucleotide transfer RNA is filed under the name Streptomyces sp. NRRL F-6491. RNAcentral's name for it is "tRNA-Thr". The record is from RNAcentral. RNAcentral also lists the same sequence under 1 other name. Lineage: Bacteria; Bacillati; Actinomycetota; Actinomycetes; Kitasatosporales; Streptomycetaceae.
GCCGCCGCAGCGGGCCCGGAUCGAACUCGUAAAGCGGGGGUCGUCGGUUCGAACCCGACAGGGGGCUCCA